UAGGGAAUCUUCCGCAAUGGACGAAAGUCUGACGGAGCAACGCCGCGUGAGUGAUGAAGGUUUUCGGAUCGUAAAGCUCUGUUGUUAGGGAAGAACAAGUACCGUUCGAAUAGGGCGGCACCUUGACGGUACCUAACCAGAAAGACACGGCUAACUACGUGCCAGCAGCCGCGGUAAUACGUAGGUGGCAAGCGUUGUCCGGAAUUAUUGGGCGGAAAGGGCUCGCAGGCGGUUUCUUAAGUCUGAUGUGAAAGCCCCCGGCUCAACCGGGGAGGGGCAGUGGAAACUGGGGAACUUGAGUGCAGAAGAGGAGAGUGGAAUUCCACGUGUAGCGGUGAAAUGCGUAGAGAUGUGGAGGAACACCAGUGGCGAAGGCGACUCUCUGGUCUGUAACUGACGCUGAGGAGCGAAAGCGUGGGGAGCGAACA
Molecule: ribosomal RNA, 428 nt
Filed under: uncultured prokaryote
Description: bacterial SSU rRNA
Rfam family: Bacterial small subunit ribosomal RNA
Source: RNAcentral